GACGACAUAUAUUAACUUGGAAAGAUUAUGUACUCUGCAAGUACAAGGUGGGCGGUUAGCUCUGUCGUUG
Molecule: transfer RNA, 70 nt
Filed under: Paramphistomum cervi
Lineage: Eukaryota; Metazoa; Platyhelminthes; Trematoda; Plagiorchiida; Paramphistomidae
Description: tRNA-Ala
Source: RNAcentral